UGGCGAAAGGGUGAGUAACACGUGGGUUACCUGCCCUAGGGAUUGGGAUAACCCGUCGAAAGACGGGCUAAUACCGGAUACGACCCGACAUCAAUUCGAUGUCGGGUGAAAGAUGGGGAUCCGCAAGGACCUAUCACCCUUGGAUGGGCCCGCGGCCUAUCAGCUAGUUGGUGAGGUAACGGCUCACCAAGGCGAAGACGGGUAGCUGGUCUGAGAGGAUGGUCAGCCACACUGGGACUGAGACACUGCCCAGACUCCUACGGGAGGCUGCAGUCGAGAAUCUUUCGCAAUGGGGGAAACCCUGACGGAGCGACGCCGCGUGCAGGAUGAAGGCCUUCGGGUUGUAAACUGCUGUCAGCUGGGAAGAAAAAGUCCGCCACGAAUAAUGGCGGAUUCUGACGGUACCAGCAGAGGAAGCCACGGCUAACUCUGUGCCAGCAGCCGCGGUAAUACAGAGGGUGCGAGCGUUGUCCGGAAUCACUGGGCGUAAAGGGCGCGUAGGCGGCCGGGUAAGUAGGGGGUGAAAUCCCGUGGCUCAACUGCGGGGCUGCCUUCUAGACUGCCUGGCUCGAGCGCGGUAGAGGCCGGUGGAAUUCCCGGUGUAGCGGUGGAAUGCGUAGAGAUCGGGAGGAACAUCGGUGGCGAAGGCGGCCGGCUGGGCCGUUGCUGACGCUGAGGCGCGACAGCGUGGGGAGCAAACAGGAUUAGAUACCCUGGUAGUCCACGCCGUAAACGAUGGGUACUAGGCGCCGGGGGGAGCGACCCUCUCGGUGCCGGCGCUAACGCAUUAAGUACCCCGCCUGGGGAGUACGGUCGCAAGACUGAAACUCAAAGGAAUUGACGGGGGCCCGCACAAGCGGUGGAGCAUGUGGUUCAAUUCGAAGCAACGCGAAGAACCUUACCUGGGCUUGACAUGCACGGGAAAGCCGGUGGAAACAUCGGUCCCUCUUC
RNAcentral lists this ribosomal RNA (951 nucleotides) under uncultured bacterium. Its description in RNAcentral is "bacterial SSU rRNA". It matches the Rfam family "Bacterial small subunit ribosomal RNA", at positions 96 to 1021 of the family's 1533-position model. The record is from RNAcentral.